This is a long non-coding RNA of Drosophila albomicans, 398 nucleotides long. RefSeq lists it as uncharacterized. The transcript is spliced from 3 exons. The record is from RefSeq and is a predicted model, not a curated record. NCBI's taxonomy places the organism in Eukaryota, Metazoa, Arthropoda, Insecta, Diptera, Drosophilidae.
UCGUUCUUCUCUGUUACGCGGUUUCCCUUUCUAGUGUAUGAAUGUGUGUACCCAGGCUGAGUGGUAACAGAAGUAACUAACAUCUAAGUAUUUAGCACCUCAUUAAAAGUUUUUAUGAUGCUAAGGACAAUGAGGACAAAGAAUGGGCUGAACAUAAAGAUCUGACACGUACUCAAGCGUUUUAUUAGCCGCCAAAAAAAGAAAGGAAGGAAGGAUAAGGUGAGGAAGGUAUUAUGCCUGAGAAAGUGUGCAUAUAAUAAAAUGUCGCCAACAAUGUGUUUAAUCAAAAGGCAUUUUAGUAUCAUAGAAUGCACAAGCUGCUUUUAAGUACGAGUCGCUUAAGGAUUUAGAUUUCAGCAAAUUAAUCUUGCUUUUUAGUCUCAACGAAUACGCAAUUA